GCAAGCCUGAUGCAGCCAUGCCGCGUGUGUGAAGAAGGCCUUCGGGUUGUAAAGCACUUUCAGCGGGGAGGAAGGCGUUAAGGUUAAUAACCUCAUCGAUUGACGUUACCCGCAGAAGAAGCACCGGCUAACUCCGUGCCAGCAGCCGCGGUAAUACGGAGGGUGCAAGCGUUAAUCGGAAUUACUGGGCGUAAAGCGCACGCAGGCGGUCUGUCAAGUCGGAUGU
RNAcentral lists this ribosomal RNA (226 nucleotides) under Klebsiella pneumoniae. RNAcentral describes it as "partial 16S ribosomal RNA". It matches the Rfam family "Bacterial small subunit ribosomal RNA", at positions 377 to 595 of the family's 1533-position model. Lineage: Bacteria; Pseudomonadati; Pseudomonadota; Gammaproteobacteria; Enterobacterales; Enterobacteriaceae. The record is from RNAcentral.